Molecule: non-coding RNA, 346 nt
Organism: Jatropha curcas
Lineage: Eukaryota; Viridiplantae; Streptophyta; Magnoliopsida; Malpighiales; Euphorbiaceae
Source: RefSeq, a predicted model, not a curated record
AUUUAAACGAUAAAUACUAUAAAUAAGAAAGAAAGAAUAAUUUUCCUUCUAACAGAAGAAGUUAGUAACUGACAUUCAUUUCUCUUCUUUCUGCUAUUCGCUUGUUUCGUCUUCUUCUCUACGCAUAUCUCUAACGCAUGCGUCGCAGAUCAUUUUAGAAGGAUUUCAAUCGAAGAAUUCAAGCUUUGGUUUCUCCAGAUUUUGUCUUAGUGGACGUGGUAAAGUACUUGAAUCAACAUCACCAUGGUUUCCUUUGAAAUGAAUGACCGCAAGAAGAUUGGGCUAGGAUUGACAGGAUUUGGCAUAUUUUUCUCGUUCCUGGGCAUUAUUUUCUUCUUUGACAAGU